CUGAAUCAAGCAGGAAAACUAGGCAAAUUAUUGACUACCAUGUUUUGACCAUACUGAAAUUUAAACAAAUUAAAUCUAACAGUCCAAAUAACAGUCCAACAUAGUCUAAAUGUUCAUACAUAUUACACAACCAAGAUGAGAUGAAUAUCCUAAAUACUACUAAACUAGUAACAUUUGCACUAUAACAUUAACAUGAAAAUAUAAAUGUCUUCAUUGUCAAAUGUGACCAUGCAUAUACACAGCUGUGCAUUUCCAGAUUUUCCUGAGUGAGAGUAAGUACCUAGAAUUACAGCAAAGAGGAAAACACCUAUGAGUAAGGUAAGCGAGAAGCAACAAACAGUAGCAGAUCAACCAAUUAAGACCCAGGAGUAGUAUUAGGAAACUUAGGAAGUUCUUGAAAGACCAACGACAACACAAGUUCCAAUCCUAUAGCUCGAACAAAGAAACCAGCCUGGGAUCAAUGCCCAAAGUAGGUUCUAACACUCUAAAUGCAUAUGCUUUAAGUCAUCUUCACCUUACCACGGAUAGAAAUAUGAUUAUUUUAUAGAAAUUUUAGGAGGUUUUUGCCAAAAAGAAAAACUUGGAAUUUUUAGGAAAUUUUUCAUAUGGUGUUCUCGACUUCCUCUUUCUUCUUUGAAAGCAAUAAGAUGAUUUUUAUAAUCUAAGCCUUAGGGCAAAAAUUUUCUUCUUGUUUUCCUAUUUGUCCCUUCCCCAUUUUCCAGAAUUGCUUAAUUGGUCCCUUGUUUUUUAACUUGUGCCUCAAGUUUUUGAGAAAAAUUAACAGAAAUUGCAUUUCGAACCUCCAACUAGAAGGUUCCGGGGAUUUGUUGCAAGAUUUUUAUGUCCAAAUACCCAUGUUACCCCUAUCUUUCCUUCUUAAUUACUUAGCCUAAAUGUCUCUACCCUGGUGUCUAUCCUUUUGGUCAGAAAUUGACCCUAGUUAAAUACUCAAGGCCAUAAACCAUGGUCUCAUUAUCAGUUGGGGUCGAUUUUUAAGAAAGUUGGUCAUGACUAACGAUUAAAUUGAGGACUACACUAUACUACUAAAAAGCAAACAAACAAUGGUCAAAAUUGGUAAGUAACAGGUCAAUGAAACACAUAUAUACAGGAGGAUUUAGACAGGUACCAAAAUAUGGGGCUGAAUUACUUAGAGGCAAAAAUAAAGCUAACCAGCACAAACUUCAGAAACAAACACAAGGUUUAUCACAAAUGAAGAUUGACCAAAUUGAAACGAAAAGGGAAAGUUAAACCAAGGAAGAGAUGAACAAUUUUGAGCUAACAGAAUAAUUCAAAUUAGUCAAGGAACAUCUGUGAAUUCAAUUGGUAAAGGGACCAUUUAGAACGGGUUAUCAAAAACUUAAAAGAAAAGGCAUAUGAUUCUGGAUGAAAAUAAAGCAACUAAUCAGAAUAUUUUCAUAGAUGAGAAAAUAGAACAUUUAUGUACUCACACAAAAUGAAAACAAAGAAAAAUUAUAAGCAAUCAAAAGGAAAACAUGGAACUUAGCUUAACAUCAUAGCCCUAAGACCUUUGACCUUCGUGUCUCAUGGUUUCCAAUCAUUUCUGGUUUCAAAUCUGGGAAUGUCUUGGGUCUUUUGGGAACUUUGUGCAAUCAUUUGAGAGGGGAAGAGGGUAUCAGGUGUAAGGUUAGUUAGUUUGGGAUAGGGUUUGGGUUUCAGACCAUUUUUCGAUUUGAUUUUUGGCCAGGUUCAAGUUGUAUUCGAAGGCUGUUGGCUGUGGAUUUGUGGAGGGGAAGGUGAGGAGGUCACCUGGUAACAGUUUCAAGGGAUUUUGGGGAGGUUGGAGAUUUUGCCAGUGCUUUGAACUAAUAUUCAAAGCAAUGGGUAAGGGUUUGGAGGAAUUUGAACAUGGAUCCAUUAUGGGGAAGGAGUAAGCGACAUAGGGUGUUAUUUUGGAAAGGUUCCGGCUGUGGCGCCACCAUGGGUGGCGGAAGCGGUGCCCAAACAUUUCAAUAUUCGAAGGGAUUGGCUCACAGUUGAGACUUGAUUCUUAGGGCAUCGCAAAGAGGAGGGCAUGGUGAGUUAGGGGUGUAUUUUUGGGAAGCAACGGAGCUCUACCACCGGCGGAGAUGAUUUCCAGCCAGCGGCUAUAUGGCGGUGUACCGACGGAGACGAGGGUACAAGGAAGAGGCUA
RNAcentral lists this long non-coding RNA (2152 nucleotides) under Nicotiana benthamiana. Its description in RNAcentral is "long non-coding RNA (NBEN_LNC030540)". Lineage: Eukaryota; Viridiplantae; Streptophyta; Magnoliopsida; Solanales; Solanaceae. The record is from RNAcentral.